UGAACGCUGGCGGCAUGCUUUACACAUGCAAGUCGAACGGUAACAGCACUUCGGUGGCUGACGAGUGGCGAACGGGUGAGUAAUACAUCGGAACGUGCCUAGUAGUGGGGGAUAACUACUCGAAAGAGUAGCUAAUACCGCAUGAGAUCUAAGGAUGAAAGCAGGGGACCUUCGGGCCUUGCGCUACUAGAGCGGCUGAUGGCAGAUUAGGUAGUUGGUGGGAUAAAAGCUUACCAAGCCGACGAUCUGUAGCCGGUCUGAGAGGACGACCAGCCACACUGGGACUGAGACACGGCCCAGACUCCUACGGGAGGCAGCAGUGGGGAAUUUUGGACAAUGGGCGCAAGCCUGAUCCAGCAAUGCCGCGUGCAGGAUGAAGGCCUUCGGGUUGUAAACUGCUUUUGUACGGAACGAAAAGCCCUCUUCUAAUACAGGAGGGUCAUGACGGUACCGUAAGAAUAAGCACCGGCUAACUACGUG
Molecule: ribosomal RNA, 480 nt
Filed under: uncultured bacterium
Lineage: Bacteria
Description: partial 16S ribosomal RNA
Rfam family: Bacterial small subunit ribosomal RNA
Source: RNAcentral